UCCCUGGCGGUCCAGUGGUGAAGACUUCAUGCCUCCGAUGCAUGGGACGCAGGUUCGAUCCCUGGUCAGGGAA
RNAcentral lists this transfer RNA (73 nucleotides) under Ovis aries (sheep). It matches the Rfam family "tRNA". Rfam says of the family: Transfer RNA (tRNA) molecules are approximately 80 nucleotides in length. Their secondary structure includes four short double-helical elements and three loops (D, anti-codon, and T loops). The record is from Rfam by way of RNAcentral. Lineage: Eukaryota; Metazoa; Chordata; Mammalia; Artiodactyla; Bovidae.